UCUCUUUCCAUGGUUCAUUUUGCAUAUCAUAAAUCCCUGCAUUUUUUGCAUAAACUACUAAACAAUUCAGUAUUCCUUUAUCCAUCAAAACUGAUUUACACUGUUGAAUUUAUCUUAACGCUGCCAACGUUUUCAAGUGUACACAAUUCCCCCCCCCCCAUAUAUUCAAAUAAACAUUUUCCAAUCUUCUUGUUAAAUGUUCGGAAAAGUCAGAAGCCCAAGGCAGUAUAAGUUCCUCAACUAAGUUUAUUCAACAUUUGUCAGUGACAACAGCUCACUCAUAGGAACACAAGAACCAAACUGACUGGACAACACAAUAAUAAAUUUGAGCGUGAACUGACCGUUGACAGUUGAAAGUGCAUGCGCUUACUUGCCAUUAGAACAUUCGUCUACCAACGUUUAUACGAUUGGUUACAAUGCGCCUUGUAACAUGUGUUAAACCCAAUGCAUAACACUUCUCUAAACGUAUGUUCUUCUUGUUAUCUUCUUCUAUAUGUUCAGUCCGCCAGCUGCAUGUAUUCCAUCAGCUUAAGUUGCCGUUCUUCUUUCGUUGGGACCUCACUGGUUUUGCAGAAAUAUAUACAACAACAAAAUUAAUCAAUUUGAGUCGUGGUAGACCCCAAAGUUUUAAGCAAUGUGGACUAGCGUCGCUUAUGUGACUCUUAGGAGCCCUGAAGCUUAAGCUUCAUUAGUUUUAUACAGGGCCAAAGCGUGGGGGGUGCUGGGGGGGGAGCCAUGGCCCUGGGCACACAAUUUUUGUGGGGGCGCAAACCAGGCAUCACCAGUGUGGCCCAACUCAGUGUCAAGGGCCACAUUGGCCGGCCGGGCCCCCACCCCAUCCUGGCACACACAAACCCCACCCAAUGCCCGCGCACCCAUCCCAGGCACUGACAACCAAUGCUACGCUGCUGAUUUCAUAAAAAGUUCACCCCUGCUGGCUUCUUAUAGCAGCAGAGAUGUACCAGGGAGUAGCUCCUCUACAAGACGGUGGCAAGGAUAUGCCACCUUAGAUCAUGGGUAGGCAAACUAAGGCCCGGGGGCCGGAUCUGGCCCAAUCGCCUUCUAAAUCCGGCCCGCGGACGGUCCAGGAAUCAGCGUGUUUUUACAUGAGUAGAAAGUGUCCUUUUAUUUAAAAGGCAUCUCUGGGAUAUUUGUGGGGCAUAGGAAUUCGUUUCCAAAAUACAAUGGUACCUCUGGAUGCGAACGGGAUCCGUUCCAGAGCCCCGUUCGCAUCCUGAAGCGAACACAACCCGCGGGUCACGAUUCGCCACUUCUGCACAUGUGCGUGACAUCAUUUUGAGCAUCUGAGCAUGCGCAAGCGGCGAAACCCGGAAGUAACAUGCUCCAUUACUUCCAGGUCUCCACAGAGUGCAACCUGAAAAUGCUUAACCCAAAGCUACUUCAACCCAAGGUAUGACUGUAUAGUCCGGCCCCCGAAAAGGUCUGAGGGACAGUGGACUGACCCCUGCCUUAGAUGAUGUAGCAGUAGCAGCCAGAAUCACUAACUACUGCAUUCUCUCAGGGGCUUCUCACCUCCUAGAGAACUCUAUAGUGUGAACCGGAGCUUUGGCUAUAAAGAAUUUAUUCGAGUAGCAGAUCUAAAAUGGAUUGUGGAGAACAGAACCGUUUGCAAACAUGCCCCAGAUCUUCUCUGUGAGGUUGCUUCUGCUUCCAGCUGGAACAGAGGUUCCAGUGUGGCACAGGGUAGAAUUUUAAAAGUCUUCUUAAAUAACUGAGUGUGAGCUGCAUGCUUUCUCUGUGUGAGUGCAGUUCCAAUCUCAGUCCACUGAAGUCAAUAGGUAAGCUCGGCCGAGACAGGAUUCCACCCUGUGUGAGUUACAUGCAUGUCAAAACAGUGUAUGGGAACAUCAGGCUCCGAGUCUAUAAAUAUUGGAUUUGUGUAAAUAGAUACAGAUGGGCUGCUUGAUACAAGGAAAUACUGACAAGCUAACAGGUAUUAGGGAAAAGAGAGUCCAGGAAGCUGACACAUGAAUAAUCCCAGAAAGUGCAUAGCACAGAAUUUUAUAAAAGCUUUCUUUUGAGGAGGAGGAGGAGAUGGAUGGACUAUUUUUUAAAUAAAUGAUUUAUAAUAAAACUUCAGCAUCUCAUUAUUGAGGAUGAAAUGACAGACUCAUAGAAUUGUGGAGUUGGAAGAGACCCAUAGGAUCAUUUUGUCCAACCCCCUGCAAUGCAGGGAUCACGGCUAAAUCCACAGCAGCUAUUGUGUUCUUGUUGAUCUUAAAAUAGUUGAGGAAAGGAAUAUGCCUUCAGGAAAUUUUUACAUGUGCCCAAGGAGCUCUUCAGUUCUAAUUUAAUAGGACAAGCUAUGGUGUUAUGUACUGAGCUGAAUCCUAGAACAAUAGGAUCCAGAAUGCAGCAGUCUGAUUGGUCCACAGGAGCCACCCAAUCCAGCUCCAGGUGGAAGUGAAUCAGCAAACUGAUUGGCCUGCAGGAUCAGCCAAUCAGGCUUCUGGAGGAAGUGAAUCCGCAACCCGAUUGGCCCGGAGCAGCCCAGAAUUAGCCAAUCACAUGGGGCUCAUUGUGUAAAUAAUGUAUAUAUAGCUAGACGUUUUGGGGGAAGUUUCAUUCAUUGCUACUUCGAGCUGAAUCAAGAGCAUGAAAUUCACACUUGACUCCAAGUAUAUCUCGGAGGGAAAAGCACUUUGCACAUGAUCAGGAUUCUGAAGACGGAAAAUGGCCAUUCCACUGAAGAAGACAUGAGGCAUGGAUCUGAUUUUAAGCAUUCAACUUGCAAUCAUAGUAAUGAUUUCACUACUGAGCCCAAACGAGACCUGGAAUAUAUUAUUCCAUGAUACAGGAGAAAACAUUCAUAGCCAAGUGUCUAAAUUUGGAGGGAGCGGCGUCAGUCACUUUUUCAUUAUUUUGUUAUAUUGUCUUACUAUUGAUACCCUCACCUUUCCCCAUGAAAACAGGACAGCUUCCAACAUUCAAUAUAAAGAAGAACAUAUCAAACAGCUCCACGUGUCAACCAAUGAAACAGCGUAGUGAUCAGCAAAACAAGGGGGAGAACCAAAGGCAACGAUGCAGAAUGAAGCCAUAUUUCAUCUUUUGAAAAGAGGAUGCACUUCAAAGCCAGAUCUGUGCUUUUGACGGGGAAACGGUGCCCAGCUAAGUGCAGCUGCGCAUGUGAUUCAUGGCAGUAAUGCGCAGCGAUCAUUCAGAAACUCUUAACCACAGUGCCAAGACACGAAAGAACCUGUGAAGUGUAGUAGUUCGGAUGUCCAAAAGUGAUAUACAAUUGAAAGGGGUCUCAAACAAAUGGGGCCCUGCAACAAAGGGUUGCAGCAUGGCACACUCCCUAACCAGCAGCUAACUAAUUGGCAGCCAGUACACAAAGGUCCAUAGAGUUAAAGCUAUGGUUUUCCCAGUAGUGAUGUAUGGAAGCGAAAGCUGGACCAUAAAGAAGGCUGAUCGCCGAAGAAUUGAUGCUUUUGAAUUAGGGUGCUGGAGGAGACUCUUGAGAGUCCCAUGGACUGCAAGAAGAUCAAACCUAUCCUUUCUUAAGGAAAUCAGCCCUGAGAGCUCACUGGAAGGACAGAUCCUGAAGCUGAGGCUCCAGUACUCAUGAGAAGAGAAGACUCCCUGGAAAAAACUCUGAUGUUGGGAAAGAUGGAGGGCACAAGGAGAAGGGGACGACAGAGGACGAGAUGGUUGGAUAGUGUUCUCGAAGCUACCAGCAUGUUUGACCAAACUGGGGGAGGCAGUGGAAGACAGGAGUGCCUGGCGUGCUCUGGUCCAUGGGGUCAUGAAGAGUCGGACACGACUAAACGGCUAAACAACAACAACACAGUCAGGUCAGCACUGAUGUUAUAUGCUCAAACCAUUGUUCUGGUGAGCAACCUCACCGUCAAAUUUUGCACCUGCUGAAGUUUCCGAACCGUCUUCAGAGGCAGCCCCACACAGAAUGCAUUGCAGUAAUCCAACCUAGAGGUGGCCAGAGCUUAAGCCACAGAAAUUAGACUAUCCCUGUCCAGAUAGGAAUGUAGGUGGGCCACCACUCCGUGCCACCAAGGCGACCUGGACCUUAAGCAACAGCAACAGAUCCAGGAGCACCCCCAAGCGACAUACCUGCUCCUUAAGAGAGAGAAUAACCCCCUCAGGAGCAGGGAACCUCCAUCCAUGCCACUCACAGAUUAUCUGUCUUAUCUGAUUAUGCUUCAGUUUAUUGGCUCUCCAUGAAGUCCAACAACAUCUGGAGGGAGCUACGUUGACUUCCGCUAGUGUAUGCAUUAGCGUAGAAACAAAAAUAGGCUGCAUUCUACAUUGAAUGGACAAAUGGUGACGCUAUUAGAUCAUCCGGGGACUAGUUAGUAUGCUGGCCCUGUGCAGAUCUUCCAUUCCGACAAACGCUUGCCUGAGCGGCGUUUGCCAAUGACUGUCAACAAUCGAAUGAAUUAUAGAUGAUGUUGGUAAACAAAAUGCUGCCGUGAUGAACGACGAGCUGCGCCAUUAUGACACCACGGCUAAGUCAUUCAAAGUGCUGAUUAAAGCCAUUACAGUAAAAUAAUCACCAUCCAUUACCUUUUAGUAUUGGGAACUGACAACGUAGUUAUGUCAGCUGACGGUGUCAGCAAAACAUGAUUUGUUGGGCCGGGUGUCCAAUGGUGAUAAAUCACGUCAGUAAAUCAAUGCACCCAAGCGAUGAAACAAUACAUUUUCUUUUCCCUUUUUCGUGGCACUGAGUUGCAAAAGAGGUACGAGGAGUUAUUCUUAAACACUGACACCGCAAGAGAUGGCUUUUGGGAGUCAGUAACCUUCAUUAUUUUAUUUAUCAAUUUAGAGCAAAUGUUGCCCAUUUUGUUUUCUGCUUCCUCCUCCUUGAAUCUCUUCCCUUUCUUUCAGUGUUCUCAUAUAUUCAGGUUUAGCAGUAGAACAUCCAUCAUUCUUCCUUGGGGUCAUUUUGCUCAGCGGUUGUGGAAGCAAUUCCCACCCGCAUUUAUUUAACUAAAGCAUUUUUACUCACCCUGUUCAGUCAGAAAGGUUCCCUUUAAGAAAGACAGUCAGUAGAAAAACAGUCCCUGCCUGUAGGCUUAUUAUCAAAAAGAAAUGGCAUAAAAGGAAAAAAGGCAUGAGGACGGAAGACGAAAGCAAGCAAACAGGUGCCAGUUCUUAAACAUAAAUAGCAGGGUUCCGUUGUUGUUGUUGUUGUUGUUGUUGUUGUUGUUGUUGUUGUUGUAAUUAUUUUGUUUAUACCCCACUCAUCUGGCUGGGUUUCCCCAGUCACUCUGGGCCGCUUACAGCAUAUAGAUAUAUAAAAACAUAAUAAAACACCAAACAUUAAAAACUUCUUGAUACAGGUCUGCCUUCAGAUGUCUUCUAAAAGUCAGAUAGCUAUUUACUUGACAUCUAAAGGGAGGGUGUUCCACAGGGUGGGUGCCACUACAGAGAAGGCCCUCUGCCUGGUUCCCUGUAACUUCACUUCUCACAGUGGGGGGACUAGCAGAAGACCCUCGGAGGGGGACUUCUGUGUCUGGGCUGCCCAAUGUGGGUGGAUAACCAGCUGGAAUGGAGAUAAUUCAGGGAAAAGAGAAGUCAAAUGGAGCUGGACUCUCAGUAGUGCUGAAAAGCAUGGUCCUGGUUCCUAUCUAUCUAUCUAUCUAUCUAUCUGCUGCAGCCAGAUGGAAUAGCUGCUGCCAUGCAACAGGUGAUGGAGGGCAGAGCCUGAUACAACAUGUAUUUAGGGAGGGCUGAUGGAAUGCUCUUGCUUCCCUUCUUUCUCUCUCCUGAUCCAGCAGAGCUCUUCUUACUACAUUCUUAUUGUUGCUCCUCAGUGAGUUUCCGUAAUUCCUUUUGCGGUAGGAUAUCAAGACAAAGUCAAAAUGCUUGUAUUUUGGGGUGAUUAUCUGUUUUUUACAAAUGCACUUCAGAAAGCAAAGAACCAAAUAAUAGCAAGCAAACUGUUACAUAACCUGAAGCAGUUGAUAUUUGAACGAGGACCAGCCAAAUCCACUGCUUUUCCAUAGAAGCCCAGCGCUUAAAAUUGGAUAAAGGAAAUUAGUUUAUGAGCCUAAAGGCAAGAAUCCUUUUUAUUUUUCUGCAGUGGGUAAUGAAUGCCAAGUGCGGAACAGGUGCUUUUAUGAAUAUUAAAUGGUGGUGCUUUUUAAACAAAACAAAAAAAACCCCUUUAUUAUAUUGUAGGAGGAUAAGAUUUAAAACAAAAGGACAACUGUUAGGAAUAAAAAUGCUACUGAUAAAAACAUUAGUCCUGUGUUUUAGUGCUGGGCUGAAUACAUUCCCCUCUCUGCUGUCUUUUUGCAGCAUGAUUCAUCCCUUGCUAAAGUGGGGAGGGGAGCUAAUCAUCAAUUUGGGGAGGAAAUUAAUGCAUUUUUUAAUUUUUAUUUUUGGUCUUAACAAUGAAGUGGCCUGGAGUUUUAUCUUCCUUUCUGAAGCAACCCAAUACGCCUUGCUGUCAUUUUCCACUAGUAAUAUAGUGACUCCAGCUGUAAUCCUGGGGCAGGUUAAGAAUCGAAGAAGAGAUUGCUAGAUCAGGCCAGUGACCCAUUUAGUCCAGCAUCCUGUUCUUACCAUGGCCAACCAAGUUGCCUGUGGGAAACCUUCAAGCAGGACAUGAGUGGAAGAGACAUUUCCCCUCCUGCAGUUUCCAGCAACUGUUAUUCAGAAGCAUCACUGCCUUCAACCGUUAAGGCAGAGCAUAACCAUCAUAGCUAGUAGUCAUUGAUAGCCUCAUCCUCAAGGAAUGGCUGCUCCUGGGAACAAGACUAUGUAAUUCCUGGGGGGAUUCUUGGGGAAAUAGGAUUGCUGUCCUCACUGGCAAGGUUUUGUAAAAACACACACACACACACACACAUAUAGAGGAAAAUAGGGAUAGGAACAAGUUCUAGCAAAUCAGUCUCUUAAGCCUAAGCCAAAAAAGAGUAUUCUCUAUAAGACUGACUAUCAAUAUACGUAUCAAGACUUUGAGAUUAGACCACUGAAGAAGCCCGGAAAACUAUCUUGGGAGUGGGCUACCUGCAAGCCCCAGUAAAAAGGGCCCCAUCGGGGGCGAACAGCGGCCUCUUGAUUACUUGGACUGCCAGGGCGAAACAGGUGCAAAACGCCAGCACCUUGUCAUCUACAACUUCAUUAACAUCUAUCUACAACUCCACUAGCAUCUCUUGGUAUUGUGAAUAACACCGAACUUACCUUUUGUUGGUAUCUUCAUGAACUUAUCUAAAAGACGUGAGUUAAGCAUUUGAAAAACCUAUUGAAACUAGACAUUACAAGUUCAUCUUAGGUUGGGUAGUUCGCAAGGCUCUGUGGCUUUGUUUAAUGUUUUGUAUUUUUCUCAGAAGGUCGAUAAAGAAUGUAUAAUCACUUAUCCUCCGUGAAUGGCUGCUCCUGGGAACAAUACUAUGUAAUUCUUGGGGGAAUAGGAUUGCUGUCCUCACUGGCAAGGUUUUUAAACACACACACAUACAGAGAGAGAGAGAGAGAGAGAGAGAGAGAGAGAGAGAGAGAGAGAGGAAAAUAGGGAUAGGAAUAACUUCUAGCAAACUAGGUUUCUAAACAGACUCACAUGAUCCAGGGGGCAACCAUGUUUUUCUAGCAGCCCUGUUUGGUAGUUUGAAGGGUAGCAGUGCUUGGCGAUAGCAUACCCUUCAACAUUUCUCCCAUGAAAAUAGGGACAUCCUAUAUAAUAAUUGUUGUUAUUGUUGUUUUCCUAUUUAUACUUCACCCAUCUGACUGGGUUGCCCCAGCCAUUCAGGGGAGGAUUCCAACAUUUUAAAAAACAUAAUAAAACAUUAAACAUUAAAAACAAAAAACCUUCCCCAUACAGGGCUGCUUUCAGAUGGCUUGGGGGUCAGAUAACUCCAUACCCACCAACGUUUCUCAGAUGAAAAUAGGGAUGUCCGAACUUAC
Podarcis lilfordi (Lilford's wall lizard) is the source of this 7881-nucleotide non-coding RNA. The record is from the annotation of a GenBank genome assembly. NCBI's taxonomy places the organism in Eukaryota, Metazoa, Chordata, Lepidosauria, Squamata, Lacertidae.